AAUCAACGCUGGCGGCGUGCCUAACACAUGCAAGUCGAACGCGAAAGCCCGCAAGGGUAAGUAGAGUGGCGCACGGGUGAGUAACACGUGGACAACCUGCCUUCGAGUGGGGAAUAACCUUCCGAAAGGAGGGCUAAUACCGCAUAACACCUCGGGACACAAGUUCUGGGGUUGAAAAGAGCAAUUUGCUCGAAGAGGGGUCCGCGCCUGACUAGCUAGUUGGUGAGGUAACGGCUCACCAAGGCUUCGAUCAGUAGCCGUCCUGAGAGGGAGCACGGCCACACUGGAACUGAGACACGGUCCAGACUCCUACGGGAGGCAGCAGUGGGGAAUUUUGGCAAUGGGCGAAAGACCUGACCAAGCAACGCCGCGUGGGUGAUGAGUAUCUUGGUACGU
Molecule: ribosomal RNA, 396 nt
Filed under: uncultured bacterium
Lineage: Bacteria
Description: bacterial SSU rRNA
Rfam family: Bacterial small subunit ribosomal RNA
Source: RNAcentral